UUAAGCGACUAAGCGUACACGGUGGAUGCCCUGGCAGUCAGAGGCGAUGAAGGACGUGCUAAUCUGCGAAAAGCGUCGGUAAGGUGAUAUGAACCGUUACAGCCGGCGAUGUCCGAAUGGGGAAACCCAGUGCAAUUCGUUGCACUAUCGUUAACUGAAUACAUAGGUUAACGAGGCGAACCGGGGGAACUGAAACAUCUAAGUACCCCGAGGAAAAGAAAUCAACCGAGAUUCCCCCAGUAGCGGCGAGCGAACGGGGAGCAGCCCGGAGUCUGAAUCAGCUUGUGUGUUAGUGGAAGCGUCUGGAAAGUCGCAGGGUACAGGGUGAUACUCCCGUACACUAAAACGCACAGGUUGUGAACUCGAAGAGUAGGGCGGGACACGUGGUAUCCUGUCUGAAUAUGGGGGGACCAUCCUCCAAGGCUAAAUACUCCUGACUGACCGAUAGUGAACCAGUACCGUGAGGGAAAGGCGAAAAGAACCCCGGCGAGGGGAGUGAAAAAGAACCUGAAACCGUGUACGUACAAGCAGUAGGAGCCCACUAGUUGGGUGACUGCGUACCUUUUGUAUAAUGGGUCAGCGACUUAUAUUCUGUAGCAAGGUUAACCGUAUAGGGGAGCCGCAGGGAAACCGAGUCUUAACUGGGCGUUAAGUUGCAGGGUAUAGACCCGAAACCCGGUGAUCUAGCCAUGGGCAGGUUGAAGGUUGGGUAACACUAACUGGAGGACCGAACCGACUAAUGUUGAAAAAUUAGCGGAUGACUUGUGGCUGGGGGUGAAAGGCCAAUCAAACCGGGAGAUAGCUGGUUCUCCCCGAAAGCUAUUUAGGUAGCGCCUCGUGAAUUCAUCUUCGGGGGUAGAGCACUGUUUCGGCUAGGGGGUCAUCCCGACUUACCAACCCGAUGCAAACUACGAAUACCGAAGAAUGUUAUCACGGGAGACACACGGCGGGUGCUAACGUCCGUCGUGAAGAGGGAAACAACCCAGACCGCCAGCUAAGGUCCCAAAGUCAUGGUUAAGUGGGAAACGAUGUGGGAAGGCCCAGACAGCCAGGAUGUUGGCUUAGAAGCAGCCAUCAUUUAAAGAAAGCGUAAUAGCUCACUGGUCGAGUCGGCCUGCGCGGAAGAUGUAACGGGGCUAAACCAUGCACCGAAGCUGCGGCAGCGACACUAUGUGUUGUUGGGUAGGGGAGCGUUCUGUAAGCCGUUGAAGGUGGCCUGUGAGGGUUGCUGGAGGUAUCAGAAGUGCGAAUGCUGACAUAAGUAACGAUAAUGCGGGUGAAAAACCCGCACGCCGGAAGACCAAGGGUUCCUGUCCAACGUUAAUCGGGGCAGGGUGAGUCGACCCCUAAGGCGAGGCCGAAAGGCGUAGUCGAUGGGAAACAGGUUAAUAUUCCUGUACUUGGUGUUACUGCGAAGGGGGGACGGAGAAGGCUAUGUUGGCCGGGCGACGGUUGUCCCGGUUUAAGCAUGUAGGCGGAUGUUCCAGGUAAAUCCGGAGCGUCACUAACGCUGAGGUGUGAUGACGAGGCACUACGGUGCUGAAGUGACAAAUGCCCUGCUUCCAGGAAAAGCCUCUAAGCAUCAGGUAACAUCAAAUCGUACCCCAAACCGACACAGGUGGUCAGGUAGAGAAUACCAAGGCGCUUGAGAGAACUCGGGUGAAGGAACUAGGCAAAAUGGUGCCGUAACUUCGGGAGAAGGCACGCUGAUGGUAGGUGAAGUGACUUGCUCAUGGAGCUGAAAUCAGUCGAAGAUACCAGCUGGCUGCAACUGUUUAUUAAAAACACAGCACUGUGCAAACACGAAAGUGGACGUAUACGGUGUGACGCCUGCCCGGUGCCGGAAGGUUAAUUGAUGGGGUUAUCCUCGCGGAGAAGCUCUUGAUCGAAGCCCCGGUAAACGGCGGCCGUAACUAUAACGGUCCUAAGGUAGCGAAAUUCCUUGUCGGGU
RNAcentral lists this ribosomal RNA (1951 nucleotides) under human gut metagenome. RNAcentral's name for it is "bacterial LSU rRNA". It matches the Rfam family "Bacterial large subunit ribosomal RNA", at positions 1 to 1977 of the family's 2925-position model. The record is from RNAcentral.